UACGUAGGGCGCAAGCGUUGUCCGGAAUUAUUGGGCGUAAAGAGCUCGUAGGCGGUUUGUCGCGUCUGCUGUGAAAUCCCGAGGCUCAACCUCGGGUCUGCAGUGGGUACGGGCAGACUAGAGUGUGGUAGGGGAGAUUGGAAUUCCUGGUGUAGCGGUGGAAUGCGCAGAUAUCAGGAGGAACACCGAUGGCGAAGGCAGAUCUCUGGGCCAUUACUGACGCUGAGGAGCGAAAGCAUGGGGAGCGAACAGG
RNAcentral lists this ribosomal RNA (253 nucleotides) under uncultured bacterium. RNAcentral describes it as "partial 16S ribosomal RNA". It matches the Rfam family "Bacterial small subunit ribosomal RNA", at positions 524 to 776 of the family's 1533-position model. The record is from RNAcentral.